CUUUCCUUCGGGACAGAGGAGACAGGUGGUGCAUGGUUGUCGUCAGCUCGUGUCGUGAGAUGUUGGGUUAAGUCCCGCAACGAGCGCAACCCUUAUGCUUAGUUGCCAGCAGGUCAAGCUGGGCACUCUAAGCAGACUGCCGGUGACAAACCGGAGGAAGGUGGGGAUGACGUCAAAUCAUCAUGCCCCUUAUGACCUGGGCUACACACGUACUACAAUGGCCGGUACAACGGGAAGCGAAAUCGCGAGGUGGAGCCAAUCCUAGAAAAGCCGGUCUCAGUUCGGAUUGUAGGCUGCAACUCGCCUACAUGAAGUCGGAAUUGCUAGUAAUCGCGGAUCAGCAUGCCGCGGUGAAUACGUUCCCGGGUCUUGUACACACCGCCCGUCACACCACGAGAGUUUACAACACCCGAAGUCGGUGGGGUAACCCGCAAGGGAGCCAGCCGCCGAAGGUGGGGUAGAUGAUUGGGGUGAAGUCGUAACAAGGUAGCCGUAUCGGAAGGUGCGGCUGGAUCACCUCCUUUCUAUGGAGA
RNAcentral lists this ribosomal RNA (533 nucleotides) under Paenibacillus polymyxa. RNAcentral describes it as "bacterial SSU rRNA". It matches the Rfam family "Bacterial small subunit ribosomal RNA", at positions 1013 to 1533 of the family's 1533-position model. RNAcentral also lists the same sequence under 1 other name. The record is from RNAcentral. Lineage: Bacteria; Bacillati; Bacillota; Bacilli; Caryophanales; Paenibacillaceae.